Molecule: ribosomal RNA, 468 nt
Filed under: uncultured bacterium
Lineage: Bacteria
Description: partial 16S ribosomal RNA
Rfam family: Bacterial small subunit ribosomal RNA
Source: RNAcentral
GACGAACGCUGGCGGCGUGCUUAACACAUGCGAGUCGAACGGAAAGGCCCUGCUUUUGUGGGGUGCUCGAGUGGUGAACGGGUGAGUAACACGUGAGUAACCUGCCCUUGACUUUGGGAUAACUUCAGGAAACUGGGGCUAAUACCGGAUAGGAGCUCCUGCUGCAUGGUGGGGGUUGGAAAGUUUCGGCGGUUGGGGAUGGACUCGCGGCUUAUCAGCUUGUUGGUGGGGUAGUGGCUUACCAAGGCUUUGACGGGUAGCCGGCCUGAGAGGGUGACCGGCCACAUUGGGACUGAGAUACGGCCCAGACUCCUACGGGAGGCAGCAGUGGGGAAUAUUGCACAAUGGGCGGAAGCCUGAUGCAGCAACGCCGCGUGCGGGAUGACGGCCUUCGGGUUGUAAACCGCUUUCGCCUGUGACGAAGCGUGAGUGACGGUAAUGGGUAAAGAAGCACCGGCUAACUACGUC